UACGGAGGGGGCUAGCGUUGUUCGGAAUUACUGGGCGUAAAGCGCGCGUAGGCGGCUUUGUAAGUUAGAGGUGAAAGCCCGGAGCUCAACUCCAGAACUGCCUUUAAGACUGCAUCGCUUGAAUCCAGGAGAGGUGAGUGGAAUUCCGAGUGUAGAGGUGAAAUUCGUAGAUAUUCGGAAGAACACCAGUGGCGAAGGCGGCUCACUGGACUGGUAUUGACGCUGAGGUGCGAAAGCGUGGGGAGCAAACAGG
Molecule: ribosomal RNA, 253 nt
Filed under: uncultured bacterium
Lineage: Bacteria
Description: partial 16S ribosomal RNA
Rfam family: Bacterial small subunit ribosomal RNA
Source: RNAcentral